RNAcentral lists this ribosomal RNA (253 nucleotides) under uncultured bacterium. Its description in RNAcentral is "partial 16S ribosomal RNA". It matches the Rfam family "Bacterial small subunit ribosomal RNA", at positions 524 to 776 of the family's 1533-position model. The record is from RNAcentral.
GACAGAGGGGGCAAGCGUUGCUCGGAAUUACUGGGCGUAAAGGGUGCGUAGGCGGCGCGGUAAGUCGGGUGUGAAAUCUUGGAGCUUAACUCCGAAACUGCAUUCGAUACUGCCGUGCUUGAGGACUGGAGAGGAGACUGGAAUUUACGGUGUAGCGGUGAAAUGCGUAGAGAUCAUGAGGAAGACCAGUGGCGAAGGCGGGUCUCUGGACAGUUCCUGACACUGAGACACGAAGGCCAGGGGAGCAAACGGG